Molecule: ribosomal RNA, 280 nt
Filed under: uncultured bacterium
Lineage: Bacteria
Description: partial 16S ribosomal RNA
Rfam family: Bacterial small subunit ribosomal RNA
Source: RNAcentral
AGCGGGAUUCAGUUGUCUUCGGAUGAUUGAUGAGAGCGGCGGACGGGUGAGUAACGCGUACACGACCUACCUUUGACUGGGGGAUAGCCCUGGGAAACUGGGAUUAAUACCGCAUAUUUAUUCUGAUUAAUAAAGGAUUUGGAAUGAAAGUUCAGGCGGUCAAAGAUGGGUGUGCGUCUGAUUAGCUAGUUGGUAGGGUAACGGCCUACCAAGGCGAUGAUCAGUAGGGGGCGUGAGAGCGUGAUCCCCCACACGGGUACUGAGACACGGACCCGACUCC